ACACGUAGGGGCCUGACGUUGUUCGGAAUCAUUGGGCGUAAAGGGCGCGCAGGCGGCCGUCCAAGUCCGGAGUUAAAUGGUCGGGCUCAACCCGAUCAUGCGCUGGAAACUGGGCGGCUUGAGUCCCGUAGGGGAUGCCGGAAUUCCAGGAGUAGGGGUGAAAUCUGUAGAUAUCUGGAAGAACACCGAUGGCGAAGGCAGGCAUCUGGCCGGAGACUGACGCUGAGGCGCGAAGGCGCGGGGAGCGAACAGGUUUAGAUACCCUGGUAGUCCGCGCAGUAAACGAUGCGCACCAGGUGUCGGGCGGCAGCGCCCGGUACCGGAGCUAACGCGAUGAGUGCGCCGCCUGGGGAGUAUGCCCGCAAGGGUGAAACUCAAAGGAAUGGACGGGG
RNAcentral lists this ribosomal RNA (392 nucleotides) under uncultured bacterium. RNAcentral's name for it is "partial 16S ribosomal RNA". It matches the Rfam family "Bacterial small subunit ribosomal RNA", at positions 523 to 918 of the family's 1533-position model. The record is from RNAcentral.